CCCUUAGAUGUUCUGGGCAGCACGCGCGCUACAAUGGUCUUCGCAAACGGAUGCAUUCUUGAAGGAGAAUGCCAAUCUUGGAAUCUAUGCCUUGGUCGGGACAGUUGCUUGCAAUUUUUCGACUCGAACCAGGAAUUCCUUGUAAUCGUGAUUCAUCACAUCACGAUGAAUACGUCCCUGCCCUUUGUACACACCGCCCGUCGCUCCUACCGAUCGAAGAGUUAGGUGAAUUGUUUUGAUCGAUAAGAUUUGACUAUGGUCAACUCUCGUUGUGAAAUUCUGUGAAUCUGACUGUUUAGAGGAAGGAAAAGUCGUAACA
RNAcentral lists this ribosomal RNA (319 nucleotides) under uncultured eukaryote. Its description in RNAcentral is "partial 18S ribosomal RNA". It matches the Rfam family "Eukaryotic small subunit ribosomal RNA", at positions 1470 to 1796 of the family's 1831-position model. The record is from RNAcentral.